Molecule: unclassified non-coding RNA, 338 nt
Filed under: soil metagenome
Description: partial contains 5.8S ribosomal RNA, internal transcribed spacer 2, and large subunit ribosomal RNA
Rfam family: 5.8S ribosomal RNA (bases 1-120)
Source: RNAcentral
GAUGAAGAACGUAGCGAAAUGCGAUAAGUAAUGUGAAUUGCAGAAUUCAGUGAAUCAUCGAAUCUUUGAAUGCACAUUGCGCCCGGCAGUACUCUGCCGGGCAUGCCUGUUCGAGCGUCAUUUCAACCCUCAAGCCCUGCUUGGUGUUGGGGCCCCACGGCUGCCGUGGGCCCUGAAAGGAAGUGGCGGGCUCGCUACAACUCCGAGCGUAGUAAUUCAUUAUCUCGCUUAGGGCGUUGGGCGGCGCUCCAGCCGUUAAAGAACCAUCUUUAACUCAAGGUUGACCUCGGAUCAGGUAGGAAUACCCGCUGAACUUAAGCAUAUCAAUAAGCGGAGGA